CCAGGGUCACAGCCUGAACCAAUGGGUGGGCUAUGUGAGUGUGUGAGUGCGGCGGCGCGGCGGUACGAACGGGGGAGGGACACAUUCCUCAGCUCGGCUCUCCCUGCGCGCUGCUACCGGGAGGGGUUUUAAGUUCACAGGAUGGCCAGCAGGAGCAACAUCACUCAAACACGCUUAUGAGGAAACAUCAUGACACCCUGUGACGCACUGCUGAACUUUUGGGAGCUGGAGAGCAUGAAUCAGAAGCACUACUGGUCUUUGAAAAAGAUACGCCUCGAGAAAGAACAUCAAGUACUGGCCCAACAGAACCAUGAAGGGAACUGCCACUGAUUGCCUUUAUUGUCUUGACAUCCUAUAUUGCGGCAGGUGUUGUGUAUGCGUCGCGAUGUGCAUUGUGUCUUGGGCCACUAGGUUGCAGGGGCUCACCCCCUACCUGCUCAGUCAUUGGUUCAUGCUGUGAAGGGGUGGAGUGUAGUGGAAUUCCAGGGUCACAGCCUGAACCAAUGGGUGGGCUCUGUGAGUGUGUGAGUGCGGCGGCGUGGCGGUACGAACGGGGGAGGGACACAUUCCUCAGCUCGGCUCUGCCUGAGCGCUGCUACCGGGAGGGGUGAGUCGAUUCUUUUUGAUAUCUUUCCCUCGUGUGCCUAUUUCUCAAAUAAAGGUUCUAUCAUUACCUUCAUUUGUUCUACAACUGUCAAUCUCUCUGCACAUCUCUGGAUUUAGGUGAUAAAGGUACAUUUUCUAGACAGUGAAAGGUCUUGCUAUACCUCAUCAAAUAGUGCAAAGAUGUUGGAAGUCUCUGUGGAACACAGUGCAUUGUUAAAUCAUGGAUUAAAAAAAAAAAUGGGGCAAACUUCCUAAAUGCCUGUUUUCUUUGAAAUUGAAUGAAAAUGAAUUGAAAUUGCUUUUACAUUCCAUAAAUGUGCCUGUGCAGCAGGUGCACACUUACUAACUUUGAGAUAUACUACACAGAUUAUCUUUCAUCUACAGAAAAAGACCUGUUACAGAAACUUGGCUUCUGGAACAUACAUCCAGUAGUACAUCUAACUUUUGGUGAUAGGGGUUGAAUAUCACUGAACACAUUAUGUGAGAUAGGUAACUUGUGUCCAUAGAUGUUGAAGGAACAUUAUCACUGUAGUGUCACUUCCCCUAAGUUCCUGACCAUUUAAUUCACAGUGUGUUGCCAAAUGUUUUAAAAAAACUGUUGUUAUAUAUCUGCUUCUAAAAUGCAAAAUCUAACAAAAAUGCAACCCCACUGCAUAUAUGAUGAUUUACUUGUUUGUUGGUCAGCUAUUCAUUUUUCAUUACAGUAUUUUCAGCUUCAGACAGAAACAUUCACAUGUCUAUAUCCAUUCUUUCAAUUUGAUCCUCUGUAGAUGUGAAGUCCACAUUCAAGUAUUCAGCUGAUUCACUAAUUAUACAACAGCUGAGCCUUUACAGGAUAACCAUUAAGAAACUGCCCAGUUCUCUUAAUCUAACCACAUCAGAGGAGUUUACAUAUCUUCAAGAGUAUCUAACAGAUAAUAAUUCAGCAGUGCAAAUACAACGGUGUCUCAGAGCUUGGGGAAAGUGCUAAGGUAUUUCAUAACACACAUAUUUGAAUAAACUUAACACACCCUAUUGUUUUUAAUCAUUUAAAUAGUUCAUUUGCUUUUUCAUAGGAUAGGAAAAAAAUAAAUUAGCACUAAGAGUGUAAAGGACAUUUUAAAAAGGUGAGACAUCUGCAGCCACUGUUAUCAAACUGAAACACAUAGUUCAAGCUUUCACAGUUUCUUCCCAUUUGUA
Molecule: long non-coding RNA, 1785 nt
Filed under: Gallus gallus (chicken)
Lineage: Eukaryota; Metazoa; Chordata; Aves; Galliformes; Phasianidae
Source: RNAcentral